RNAcentral lists this ribosomal RNA (251 nucleotides) under uncultured prokaryote. Its description in RNAcentral is "partial 16S ribosomal RNA". It matches the Rfam family "Bacterial small subunit ribosomal RNA", at positions 525 to 775 of the family's 1533-position model. The record is from RNAcentral.
ACGUAGGAGGCGAGCGUUAUCCGGAUUUACUGGGCGUAAAGCGCACGCGGGCGGCUUCGUGAGUCGGACGUGAAAGCUCCUGGCUUAACUGGGAGAGGUCGUUCGAUACUGCGGGGCUUGAGGUAGGGAGAGGGGUGUGGAAUUCCCGGUGUAGUGGUGGAAUGCGUAGAGAUCGGGAGGAACCCCGGUGGCGAAGGCGACUUGCUGGGCCUGAACUGACGCUCAGACGCGAAAGCAUGGGGAGCGAACGG